RNAcentral lists this ribosomal RNA (794 nucleotides) under uncultured bacterium. RNAcentral's name for it is "bacterial SSU rRNA". It matches the Rfam family "Bacterial small subunit ribosomal RNA", at positions 1 to 801 of the family's 1533-position model. The record is from RNAcentral.
CCCUUAGAGUUUGAUCCUGGCUCAGGACGAACGCUGGCGGCGUGCCUAACACAUGCAAGUCGAGCGAAGUGCUUGCGAUAGAUUCCUUCGGGAUGAAGAUGCAAGUAUCUUAGCGGCGGACGGGUGAGUAACGCGUGAGGAACCUGCCUUCUACAAGGGGAUAGCCUCGGGAAACCGGGAUUAAUACCCUAUGAUACUUAAAAUCCGCAUGAAAUUUAAGUUAAAGCGUAAAGCGGUAGAAGAUGGUCUCGCGUCCCAUUAGUUAGUUGGUGAGGUAACGGCUCACCAAGACAGCGAUGGGUAGCCGGCUUGAGAGAGUGAACGGCCACACUGGAACUGAGACACGGUCCAGACUCCUACGGGAGGCAGCAGUGGGGAAUAUUGCACAAUGGAGGAAACUCUGAUGCAGCGACGCCGCGUGAGCGAUGAAGGUCUUCGGAUCGUAAAGCUCUGUCCUAUGGGACGAUAAUGACGGUACCAUAGGAGGAAGCCCCGGCUAACUACGUGCCAGCAGCCGCGGUAAUACGUAGGGGGCGAGCGUUGUCCGGAACUACUGGGCGUAAAGGGUACGCAGGCGGCCAAGCAAGUCAGAUGUGAAAGGCGUAGGCUCAACCUAUGUAAGCAUUUGAAACUGUUUGGCUUGAGUUAAGGAGAGGAAAGUGGAAUUCCUGGUGUAGCGGUGAAAUGCGUAGAUAUCAGAAGAAUAUCAGUGGCGAAGCGACUUUCUGGACUUAUACUGACGCUGAGUACGAAAGCGUGGGGAGCAAACAGAUAGAUACCCUGGUAGUCACGCC